GCCGCUGUGGUGGAAUUGGCAGACGCGCUGGACUCAAAAUCCAGUGGUAGCGAUACCAUACCGGUUCGACCCCGGUCAGCGGCACCA
This 87-nucleotide transfer RNA is filed under the name Candidatus Coproplasma excrementipullorum. Its description in RNAcentral is "tRNA-Leu". It matches the Rfam family "tRNA". Rfam says of the family: Transfer RNA (tRNA) molecules are approximately 80 nucleotides in length. Lineage: Bacteria; Bacillati; Bacillota; Clostridia; Eubacteriales. The record is from RNAcentral.